GGGGGUUUAGCUCAGCUGGUAGAGCACCUGNNGGCUAGAGCACCUGCUUUGCACGCAGGGGGUCAGGAGUUCGAAUCUCCUAACCUCCACCA
RNAcentral lists this transfer RNA (92 nucleotides) under Candidatus Gastranaerophilales bacterium HUM_18. RNAcentral describes it as "tRNA-Ala". It matches the Rfam family "tRNA". Rfam says of the family: Transfer RNA (tRNA) molecules are approximately 80 nucleotides in length. Lineage: Bacteria; Bacillati; Candidatus Melainabacteria; Candidatus Gastranaerophilales. The record is from RNAcentral.